UACAGAGGUCUCAAGCGUUGUUCGGAAUCACUGGGCGUAAAGGGUGCGUAGGUGGCGUGGUAAGUCAGAUGUGAAAGCCCGGGGCUCAACCUCGGAACUGCAUCCGAUUCUGCCAUGCUAGAGUACUGGAGAGGUGACUAGAAUUCUCGGUGUAGCAGUGAAAUGCGUAGAUAUCGAGAGGAAUACCAAAGGCGUAGGCAGGUCACUGGACAGUUACUGACACUGAGGCACGAAGGCCAGGGGAGCGAAC
This 250-nucleotide ribosomal RNA is filed under the name uncultured prokaryote. Its description in RNAcentral is "partial 16S ribosomal RNA". It matches the Rfam family "Bacterial small subunit ribosomal RNA", at positions 524 to 773 of the family's 1533-position model. The record is from RNAcentral.